AAAAAUAUUUUUUUUUUUCACAAAAAGUUUUCAGAGCUGUAUUUCUGUGGCAAAUAGUAUGAGUGGUUUUAGGCUUUCUAUAGAGAUUGACAGAUUGUCCACUAGAAAGAUCAUACCCAGAAGGAUUCCAUAACCACCGUGCCCCCUUUCCCCCAGAAUUGUAUGAGUGUCCAUUUCACUACAUCUUCCUGGGGUAACUUGCACAUUCAGGGGAUUGACGGUGCUCAUUUAAAGAUGCUGAACAUGACAGACACAGACACCAAGAAGGCAUUUGCUUGUUACCAAGGGAUUUCACCAAGAAGAUAUGUCUCAAUCUCCAUGUCAAAAGAAUUGCUUUUCUUUACCGUUACAAUAGUCUUUCUCUACAGGGUUGGCUGUGAGGAAACAUCAAUAUUCCUUACAGAGAGAACUCACUAGAUUCCUUAAAGGGAGCUUAUUCUUCAUUCUCCCUUUUCUACUUUGAAGGCAAUGUGAAAUAAUCCAUCUUCUGGUGAUGUGAUUGAGGGAAAACCUUGUCUCCAAUUCUCUGAAGUUUACCCCUGUAGGUAUUCUGGCUCUAGGUAAAUGCCAAUUAGGUCUUACGUAAUAUACUUAUUACAGUGACCAAGACUUUAAAUAUCAUUAUGGGGAACAUUGAUGGGAAAAUGUGACUGGGGCAAAGAGAUCACUUACAGGACCAGAUUGAUUAUCUAAUGUGGUCCGUGAGAACAUGAAGGGUUUCAGGGAGGAUUUGAUGUCACGUCUUUGAGAGAAACAUCACAAUGUGCUCCCAUCAACUCUCCUGGCUCUCCCUUAGGUACACCGCUCAAUUCAAGGACAACCAUGAGCAGCUCAGAGUCCCUGCACCUCAGGUGGACAGGAACAUGCAGGGCAGAGUCUACGAGGGAACAUCUACGCUGUUAGCCUGCUCCCAAAUAGGAAAGUGUGGGUCAAAGAAGACACCUAUGCAAACUAUUUGAUUUCUCUGACUUCGUGAAUUCAUAGGAAGUAGUUCUCUGGAAGUACACUUGAACUCUGUUCUGCACUUUAAACACUUGACACCGCAACUCCUCUACUGAGCAGACAUGAAAACUAAGCAAGAAGUCUUUCUCCAGAAAUAAUUUCUGACUGCCUAAAGGCAAAUUAAUACAGUUAACACCCAUACAACUUACUCCUCUGAUGGACCAAUAAUAGGCAUUCAAAGACUACCUCCCUAAAGUCUGCAAGCAAAAAGGAAACUGCUUCAGAUAGAGACAGCCAGAGAGAGAGGGAACACAAGCAGGGUGAGUGGGAGAGGAAGAAGC
This is a long non-coding RNA of Ailuropoda melanoleuca (giant panda), 1283 nucleotides long. RefSeq lists it as uncharacterized. NCBI's taxonomy places the organism in Eukaryota, Metazoa, Chordata, Mammalia, Carnivora, Ursidae. The record is from RefSeq and is a predicted model, not a curated record. The transcript is spliced from 3 exons.